AGAAAAAUGUGGAGGAGCCGGUGUUGCUGGCUGAGAUAGCGUCCUUAAGAUGUUGACUCUUAGAACCUGAUCUGGGUGAUGCCAGCGUAGGGAACAGUAUCUCUUUUUAG
RNAcentral lists this non-coding RNA (110 nucleotides) under Bacillus sp. (in: firmicutes). Its description in RNAcentral is "Bacillus sp. TPP sequence". It matches the Rfam family "TPP riboswitch aptamer (THI element)". Rfam says of the family: Vitamin B(1) in its active form thiamin pyrophosphate (TPP) is an essential coenzyme that is synthesised by coupling of pyrimidine and thiazole moieties in bacteria. The previously detected thiamin-regulatory element, thi box was extended, resulting in a new, highly conserved RNA secondary structure, the THI element, which is widely distributed in eubacteria and also occurs in some archaea. Analysis of operon structures identified a large number of new candidate thiamin-regulated genes, mostly transporters, in various prokaryotic organisms. The record is from RNAcentral. Lineage: Bacteria; Bacillati; Bacillota; Bacilli; Caryophanales; Bacillaceae.